AUUGCAGAGAGGCAGAGACCAUGAUGCUCAUCCAAUAGGAGACUGCGGCACCUAUCCGGUAGGCGAUGAUGAUCGAUGCUGAGGCUAGGGCUCUGGCCUUUAGGUGGCAGCGACGAACGGCAGAAAGGAAAUGAAGACCGAAAGACAUUGAAGAUGAAGAGUUGAAAUUGAUCUUGGGAAUUAGAAUGCACUUGGCGUUGGUGUUUUUUUAUCUGCAAACGAUUAACCCGUCACUCAGCCG
RNAcentral lists this long non-coding RNA (241 nucleotides) under Elaeis guineensis (African oil palm). RNAcentral's name for it is "long non-coding RNA (EGUI_LNC052382)". The record is from RNAcentral. Lineage: Eukaryota; Viridiplantae; Streptophyta; Magnoliopsida; Arecales; Arecaceae.